UCCGGGGUAGCUCAAUUGGCGGAGCAGGGCACUGUUAAUGCCAAGGCUGUGGGUUCGAGUCCCACCCCCGGAG
Molecule: transfer RNA, 73 nt
Filed under: Actinomycetota bacterium
Lineage: Bacteria; Bacillati; Actinomycetota
Also listed under: 2 other names
Description: tRNA-Asn
Rfam family: tRNA
About the family: Transfer RNA (tRNA) molecules are approximately 80 nucleotides in length. Their secondary structure includes four short double-helical elements and three loops (D, anti-codon, and T loops).
Source: RNAcentral